Molecule: ribosomal RNA, 483 nt
Filed under: uncultured bacterium
Lineage: Bacteria
Description: bacterial SSU rRNA
Rfam family: Bacterial small subunit ribosomal RNA
Source: RNAcentral
GAUCAACGCUGGCGGCGUGCCUCAGACAUGCAAGUCGAACGAUUAAAGCUCUCUUCGGAGAGUGUAUAGAGUGGCGCACGGGUGAGUAACACGUAAGUAAUCUACCUUUGAGUGGGGAAUAACGUCCGGAAACGGACGCUAAUACCGCAUAAUGCAGCGGCAUCGCAAGAUGACAGUUGUUAAAGAUCUAUCGCUUGAAGAGGAGCUUGCGGCAGAUUAGCUUGUUGGUAAGGUAACGGCUUACCAAGGCUACGAUCUGUAACCGGUCUAAGAGGACGGUCGGUCACACUGACACUGAAUAACGGGUCAGACUCCUACGGGAGGCAGCAGUCGGGAAUUUUGGGCAAUGGGCGAAAGCCUGACCCAGCAACGCCGCGUGAAGGAUGAAGUAUUUCGGUAUGUAAACUUCGAAAGAAUGGGAAGAAUCAAUGACGGUACCAUUUAUAAGGUACCGGCUAACUACGUGCCAGCCGCCGCCGUAAC